Long non-coding RNA from Helianthus annuus (common sunflower), 3210 nucleotides. RefSeq lists it as uncharacterized. The transcript has 2 exons. The record is from RefSeq and is a predicted model, not a curated record. NCBI's taxonomy places the organism in Eukaryota, Viridiplantae, Streptophyta, Magnoliopsida, Asterales, Asteraceae.
AAAACAACUGUCCAGGUGCAUUACCAAAAUUGUUAAUCAGAUAUAAAAUUGUUAAUCAGAUAUAAACUGGUAUGUAUUAGUUUUUUAAUGAUUUGUUUUGGUUUGUUUUACUUGUUGCAUGUUAGAUUGGGCUGAAUGAGAGUUGGGCUUGCUGAUUAAAGACAAAGGAGCUGAUGGGCUGGCUUGCUAAAGAUAAAGUAUGAUGGGCUGGGCUUGUUGUUGCAGAGCAGCUGAUCCGGAUUUCUUCGGGUCGUUAUAUAAGUGUGCUUGAUGACAAACUUAUUGACAAGCCUUCAAAUCAAUGGCCACCGAACCACCACCAUCAUCCGUCGUUUCCAGAAGAAGAACCAAGAACCAGGCCAGACAAUUUAUUUCUCUUUCUAUCUUAGGUCUCGAUCUCUCUGGAAUGUAACCAGAGAUCUAGGGUUAUUUGUGUUUAAGAACUUGUUAGAUCUUGUUGGUUUCUGUAUCAAAUCGUCGUGUUGUGAUCUAAACCGUAGAGGUUGUAGAGAUUGUUUGUUCAUGAGUUUUCCGUGAGGGUUUUUUGUUUAAAUAAAAGUUUUCCGGUGAAUAACUCUGCUCUGUACUAUCAAAUUUGACAUGGUAUCAGAGCCUCAUGGCUUUGAUCGAUUCUGGUUCUUUCGUUGAUAUUGAGAGUGGGUUGUCGUCUUGGUUUCUUUAAGUCUGAAACCCUAAAUAAUUGAUGUCUAGGGUUUGCUUCGAAUAUGUUUUUAGAGAAAUUGUCAUCGGCUGAAAUUUUAUUAUCCGACUUAUUCUUGGUUUUAUUGACCACUCCCACAUCAUCUAGGGCUUCAACCAGUAGGUAAUUUUUAGCCACGAGUUAGGAUUUUCUGAUCGAAGGAUUUCUCGGCUGAUUACAGUUUCGUCCAUAUUCUACAGCUAUGUAGAUCUCUGUCUUCCGCUGUGGUUAUCAUUAAAUCUGGAUUUAGGGUUUGAAGUUUAUUCUCUAUGUCAGUUAACGAAGGAUGUUGGCUUUGAUAUGUGGUCUUGGUGAUUUAAUUAAGAUUGUGUGUGUAUCUCUGUUCAAGAUAUGUUCAAAAUCUAUUCAUGUGAGUGAUGAUCCAGGUCUGAAGGGUUCUUGGAUUUGGGGAUUUGGUGUUCCGAUCGUUUUUGGCGGUGAAUCAAAUAGAUCUGGUUAGAUCUAAGUUAUAGUGGAGUCUUGGUGAGCCUGGGUUUGCCGAUUUCAUAAAUGGUGUCUUCAGAAAAAGGAAACUUAAGGAAGCUGCUGUUCCGUUCAAGGUUCAACCCUUGAAGGUUGCAAAAUCCUUUUCGGAACUAGAGAAACCCUUGCUAGGGUUUGCUGUCUCGGUGAGAUUGUUCCUUGUAAUUAUUUCUUUCUUUAUUUUUCUGUCUUGCAUUUUAGGUAUCUUGUUACCAGACUAGUCGAGCGGCUUUGUUUUGGGACACAGAAAGGUGAACGAAGAACAGAGCCUCCUCAAAAGUUUUCAAAUCAAGAUCAAUUGUCAUUUGUGGAUUCAAAUUCCAGAUCUAUCUCGAUCAAAAUCUGUGAACGCUAAAGAUUAUUCGAACAUCAAGGUCAAUCUGCUCCCUUUUUCACUUUAAUUUCAUCUUAUGCAUACUAUAUGCAUAUAUGUAUACAUGCUUCUGUAGAAUAUCAAUUACUGACCCUGUAGUAAAUAUCUCAAUCAAUCUGAUACGAUCAUUAUUUGUUCAUAUAAAUUGGUGAGUUAAAUUGUUAGGUUAUCAAUUAGGGCAGUUAGAAAAUUAGUUUAAUUUGUUGAAUUUUGGGGACAGUUUUACAAUAUGGGUUUUUGAAUUUGAUUAAGUGUUUGAAGGAAUGAAAAACAAAAAUUGGGAGUGGGUUUUGGGUUUAAUAUAUGUAUAUUUGCUGUUGCAACCAUUUGGAGCUGCUGCGGUUACUGGUUGGUUUUGCGGGCGUUAUUGUUCCGUCAAAUACGUGUUCAACCCCCAAAGAAGCUAGUGUUGAACUUGAAAAAAAAAAAAUCAUACGAUAGAUAAAUGAUGAUCAGUAUUACAUUGUUGAUAUGUUAAUGUUAUUCAUCAUGGUUUUUCGCAUUUUUAUCAACCAAAUUUUAUGAAGGGCUUUAAUGGUUUGUUUAAAAAAUGGAUAUUUGUCGUUGAAAUAUAUAUAUAUUUUUUUUUUCUUUCGAACAAAAUUUAAAUGUUAAGUCACAUCCGGAAGUUUGCGUCUUCAUUAACAAAGUUUUGACGUAACUAUAAAGUUUAAAAAACAUUUUUUUUUACUUCAGGAUGGCUUCAUUAUGUUUGUAUUUUGGGUUUUGAUUUGUUUGAAAAAGGUUGGUCAAAAGGAAUUUGUAGGAUUAUUUGAGCUUUGUAAACACUAAACUUUGAAGAGGAGAAGGAAAUGUUAUAUGAAGUUUAGAGAAGUCACAUCAUCGUGAAAAUCAGGGAAGUUAAUUGAAUUUGUUUUGUUAUUAUUUUUCAUAUACUUGGUAUUUGUGAAGUCUCUGUUUUAUCUAGCCCUCAUCCAAGUAAGUGGUUACAUGUUUAAAAGGCAAGUAUAAAUAGCUAAUAUUUUUUAUCAAAGGUUUAUUGGUAAAUCAACACGUUAGGUUGUGUAAAUUGCUGAACAUGUUUAAUGUGUUUGGUCAUGCAACUGAGGGGGGGUGUUGAAAACAACUGUCCAGGUGCAUUACCAAAAUUGUUAAUCAGAUAUAAAAUUGUUAAUCAGAUAUAAACUGGUAUGUAUUAGUUUUUUAAUGAUUUGUUUUGGUUUGUUUUACUUGUUGCAUGUUAGAUUGGGCUGAAUGAGAGUUGGGCUUGCUGAUUAAAGACAAAGGAGCUGAUGGGCUGGCUUGCUAAAGAUAAAGUAUGAUGGGCUGGGCUUGUUGUUGCAGAGCAGCUGAUCCGGAUUUCUUCGGGUCGUUAUAUAAGUGUGCUUGAUGACAAACUUAUUGACAAGCCUUCAAAUCAAUGGCCACCGAACCACCACCAUCAUCCGUCGUUUCCAGAAGAAGAACCAAGAACCAGGCCAGACAAUUUAUUUCUCUUUCUAUCUUAGGUCUCGAUCUCUCUGGAAUGUAACCAGAGAUCUAGGGUUAUUUGUGUUUAAGAACUUGUUAGAUCUUGUUGGUUUCUGUAUCAAAUCGUCGUGUUGUGAUCUAAACCGUAGAGGUUGUAGAGAUUGUUUGUUCAUGAGUUUUCCGUGAGGGUUUUUUGUUUAAAUAAAAGUUUUCCGGUGAAUAA